UACGAAGGGGGCGAGCGUUGUUCGGAUUUACUGGGCGUAAAGGGCGCGCAGGCGGCGGACCAAGUCAGGCGUGAAAGCCCCGGGCUUAACCUGGGAGGUGCGUCUGAUACUGGAUGGCUGGAGUGUGGGAGAGGGAUGCGGAAUUCCAGGUGUAGCGGUGAAAUGCGUAGAUAUCUGGAGGAAUACCGGUGGCGAAGGCGGCAUCCUGGACCGAGAUUGACACUGAUGAGCGAAAGCUAGGGGAGCAAACGGG
Molecule: ribosomal RNA, 253 nt
Filed under: uncultured bacterium
Lineage: Bacteria
Description: partial 16S ribosomal RNA
Rfam family: Bacterial small subunit ribosomal RNA
Source: RNAcentral